AAAUUACCAUCUUCAGUAUCGUGAAGUGCCUAAAAUUUACGAAUGACGUUAUUUUUACGAAAAAUUAUUAAAUUCUAAUACGUAAGAAAAUAAAUAUCUUCAUGAAGCCUUUCUUGUCUCAAUUGAUUUCGCCUUUUUUAACCUCUUUUCUAUGAAAAAAGUUAGCGGAGACGAACAUCGGAACCUGACGAUCUUUUCAUAAACAAAAAAAUGUUUUUUAUGCUGAAGUGACUCGAAAAUUCCUUAGCACCAGCAUCGCUGCGAGCGGAAGCCAGUUUUUCUGUGUUUUCGUCGAUGCUAAUCAGCUGACGGUCGGUUAUAAUUUAGCCGUCCGUGCCGACGAAAUUUUUUGCAAUUUUUCUUUCGAUUUUGAGAAAAACGUUCCAACAAAUUUCAUCGCGUUCGAAACGAACUUGAAAAUGGGGAUAAGUUUCGAUAUCUCGAUUGUUGUCCGUCGUAGAAACUCUAUUUUCUAGUUUUUGAGAAUAAAAUAUUAGCAACAAUAACCUUUAUUCGGAAGAUUUUUUGACGAGUGCGACGUAAAAAAAUCGAUGGAAAAGGUGCAAUGAAGAGAAUUCGUGAAAAACCAGUCGCCCCUUGAUCCAAUUGAAUAAUGGUUCAUGUCAAGGCUUUGGGAACCACUCAAUUCUCUUCAUAAAUUUUAUUUUUCCCUCCUGCUAUGAUAAGUCAAAAAAUAUUCGAGGUAGACUGCACCAGGUUAACUUUUCUGGACGAAUAAAAUUUUCCUUGGAAACAAUCGUGCUUUCAUAUUCAAUAUCAUUUUCACACAGUUGUUUUUUGCAGGAAUGCUCAAGAGGCUCGGCAGCAGCUCGUCGCCAAGUGUACGAAGAACUUUUCAGGCUUUCCAAGUUUUUCAAUUAUACUUCAAUUUUACCAUUGAGGUCCUACUGGAUGAGCUUAAUUGAACGAUGUAACUUACGAGUCAACAAAUUGUACAACCGGAUCCUCGAGGAUAUCGGACAUGUCAACUUGGUUUCCUCGCUUUAUGACUUCUGGGUGUUUCUUCAUCAUCAACCAACCCACGUGACUAAAGAAAAAGCCACGAUUAGUGUUGUGAGGAUCGGCAUCCGUUUCCGAAAAUUUGUGAUGCACUCUGUGAUCUCUGACCCAAUCGAAAAUCGUAUUCUGUGAUAAUUAUUAUGUGUUGAGAAUGUAUUCAAUUGGCUUUGAAAUUUCUCAGUGAAAAUAUACCUCGUUUUUUAUUGUU
Molecule: long non-coding RNA, 1228 nt
Organism: Venturia canescens
Lineage: Eukaryota; Metazoa; Arthropoda; Insecta; Hymenoptera; Ichneumonidae
Exons: 2
Source: RefSeq, a predicted model, not a curated record